CCUCAGCGCAUCGCGAGCCGCCGGGGGUUCAUAAGGACCGGUCCCUGAGGAGCUCGGGAUUUGGGCUUCUGUGUGCGGCUGUGUGCGGCUGUGUGCGGCUGUGUGGUCUUUCUUAGCUUCUUUUGGUGAGGUUGAGAGGAAGAUGGAAGUGUGCUUGGACAGAACUCUUCAUGGAGAAGGAGAGCAGAGCUUUCUGAAGGACGGGUGACCUGGAAUAAGUUAGGGUUCGCGGGCCGUGCCCCGCUGUCCCCGGCAAUGAAGCUCGGAGCACCAGGCCG
Molecule: long non-coding RNA, 278 nt
Organism: Hirundo rustica (Barn swallow)
Lineage: Eukaryota; Metazoa; Chordata; Aves; Passeriformes; Hirundinidae
Exons: 3
Source: RefSeq, a predicted model, not a curated record